This is a small nuclear RNA of Artibeus jamaicensis (Jamaican fruit-eating bat), 105 nucleotides long. NCBI's taxonomy places the organism in Eukaryota, Metazoa, Chordata, Mammalia, Chiroptera, Phyllostomidae. The record is from RefSeq and is a predicted model, not a curated record.
UUGCUUCGGCAGCACAUAUACUUAAAAUUGGAACGAUACAGAGAAGAUUAGCAUGAUCCCUGCACAAGGAUGACACGCAAAUUUAAAGUUGCCUCUGACAUAUUU